ACCCAGCUGACGAAUCCCAAAUAGGAUGAAAUAUGCGUCCUAGAU
Molecule: non-coding RNA, 45 nt
Organism: Schistosoma mattheei
Lineage: Eukaryota; Metazoa; Platyhelminthes; Trematoda; Strigeidida; Schistosomatidae
Source: Rfam